Molecule: ribosomal RNA, 329 nt
Filed under: uncultured eukaryote
Lineage: Eukaryota
Description: partial 18S ribosomal RNA
Rfam family: Eukaryotic small subunit ribosomal RNA
Source: RNAcentral
CCCUUAGAUGUUCUGGGCCGCACGCGCGCUACACUGAUGCAUUCAACGAGUCUAAAACCUGCUCUGAUAGGGGUGGGUAAUCUUUUGAAUGUGCAUCGUGAUUGGGAUAGAUGAUUGCAAUUUUUCAUCUUCAACGAGGAAUGCCUAGUAAACGCAAGUCAUCAGCUUGCAUUGAUUACGUCCCUGCCCUUUGUACACACCGCCCGUCGCUCCUACCGAUUGAAUGAUCCGAUGAAUAUCAUGGAUUGAGGAUGCAAGUAGAUUCGCCUAUCUUCAUCUUCGAGAAGUGAAGUAAAUCUUAUCAUUUAGAGGAAGGAGAAGUCGUAACA